UGCCAGCCGCCGCGGUAAUACGGAGGGGGCUAGCGUUGUUCGGAAUCACUGGGCGUAAAGCGCGCGUAGGCGGAUCAGUCAGUCAGGGGUGAAAUCCCGAGGCUCAACCUCGGAACUGCCUUUGAUACUGCUGGUCUUGAGUUCGAGAGAGGUGAGUGGAAUUCCUAGUGUAGAGGUGAAAUUCGUAGAUAUCUGGAAGAACACCAGAGGCGAAGGCGGUCUCUUGGUCCGAAACUGACGCUGAGGCGCGAAAGCGUGGGGAGCAAACAGGAUUAGAUA
RNAcentral lists this ribosomal RNA (279 nucleotides) under uncultured bacterium. RNAcentral's name for it is "partial 16S ribosomal RNA". It matches the Rfam family "Bacterial small subunit ribosomal RNA", at positions 506 to 784 of the family's 1533-position model. The record is from RNAcentral.